GCCACUGCUAUUGGGGUUCGGCUAAGCCAUGCGAGUGGAGGGCGUCCCGCAAGGGAUGGCCCCGCAGACGGCUCAGUAACACGUCGUCAACCCACCUUAGGGUGGGGGACAACCUCGGGAAACUGAGGAUAAUCCCCCAUAGGCGGGGGAGGCUGGAAUGCGCCCCCGCUGAAAGCUCAGGCGCCCUGGACGGGACGGCGGCCUAUCAGGUAGUUGGUGGUGUGAC
This 226-nucleotide ribosomal RNA is filed under the name uncultured archaeon. RNAcentral describes it as "partial 16S ribosomal RNA". It matches the Rfam family "Archaeal small subunit ribosomal RNA", at positions 23 to 245 of the family's 1478-position model. The record is from RNAcentral.